CCAGGCCUCCCGCCGGCUCAUUGCUGGUUCCUAUGCACUGUCCCCACCCCAAGACUCCAGCCUAGGAGCCCCCCCUUCAAGGAGGUGGCUGCACCCCAUUGGCCUGUCUCCUAACCCUCUUGUCCUGGCACCAGGGGUGGCAAACGAAGAGGGAACAACCUCCUCCAUCCGUCUCUCUCUGGGCAUCCUGCCCUGCCCAGGGACUGGCAUGGGGCAAUACCCGCAGUGUCCCCCAACUCAAGGCCUCCAGGGUUGACCCCAAAGAGCCCCCUUAGCGGGAAGGAGGUUUGGGUACAUCUACAUCCAUCCUACCUUCUGGAGAGGCAUGCGGAGGUUCCAGAGAGGGGAAACUGCGGCAGAAGAGAGCCAAAGUCACACCCAGACAGAGGAUCCAGCUGGAACAAUGACGGGGGCCUGCCCAGCCAGCCCCAGCUGCUUCCUUUUCAGUGGCCCUGUGCCCCCUGCCAGGAAAGAGACAGACACACAACGGGAGAAUGCUACAUGGUGAUGGAGACAGCCUGGAGUGAUGUGUCUGCAAGCCAAGGAAUGCCAAGGAUGGCUGACAACCACGAGAAGCUGGGAGAGGCAUGGAGAGAGCAUCCCCUAGAGACCUCCGGGAGAGCGGGGCCCUGCUGACACCUUGAUUUCAGAGUUCUGAUGUCCAGAACUGAUUAAAUGAGAUCAUACCAUACUCAGAAGUUAGAUGCACAGUACAGGAAGAGAAAGGGGCUGACUGGGGGUGAUUCGAGAUCCAAUCUAGCCUGACUUGACACUUUACUUCAUCAUUACUGAGCACCUACUGUAUGCCAGGGUAUGAUUUAUGAUACAAAAGCCUCUUAGCAGGAGAGAAUCAGCUGGAUGGAGACUGAUGGGGAGGAGGGACUCCUGCUUUGAUUAAAGUCAGAGACAAGGCUAGCUUGACAUGAGCUAGUGGCAGUGCAAGUGGGGAAAUGUAUAUGGAUUCAAGACAGAUUUUGGAGUUUGAACUGACAGGGCUUGCGAAUGGACUGGAUAUAAGAUGUGAGAGAAGGGGAAGUCUAGAGUGAUCAAGUGGAUGGUUUACCAGUUACUGUUUUGUUUUUUAAAUAUUUAUUUGUUUUUGACUCUGCUGGGUCUUUGUUGUUGCAUGGGGUUUUUCUCUAGUUACAGUGUGUGAGCUUCUCCUUGCGGUGGUUUCUCGUUGUGGAGUAUGGGCUCUAGGGCACAUGGACUUCAGUAGUUGUGGCUCCAAGGCUCUAGAGCACAGCCUCAAUAGUUGUGGCGCACAGGCUUAAUUGCUCUGCAGCGUGUGGGAUCUUCCCAGAUCAGGGAUCAAACCCAUGUCUCCUGCAUUGGCAGAUGGGUUCUUUACUACUGAGUCACCCAGGGAGCCCUGUUUUUUUUUUUUUUUUUUUUUAAUGAUGCUUUUUCUAUCUUAGAAAAAAUAUUUAUUUGGCUGUGCCAGAUCUUAG
Long non-coding RNA from Bos taurus (domestic cattle), 1451 nucleotides. The record is from Ensembl. Lineage: Eukaryota; Metazoa; Chordata; Mammalia; Artiodactyla; Bovidae.